GACGAACGCUGGCGGCGUGCCUAACACAUGCAAGUCGAGCGGGGUUGAAGCGAGAGGUAACUCGAACUUCUACCUAGCGGCGGACGGGUGAGUAACGCGUGGGCAACCUGCCUCAAGGUCUGGGAUAACAGCCCGAAAGGGCUGCUAAUACUGGGUAUGCUUGUGGCCUCGCAUGGGGCUAUGAGCAAAGGGGAAACCCGCCUUGAGAUGGGCCCGCGUCCCAUCAGCUAGUUGGUGAGGUAACAGCUCACCAAGGCGACGACGGGUAGCCGGCCUGAGAGGGUGACCGGCCACACUGGGACUGAGACACGGCCCAGACUCCUACGGGGGGCAGCAGUGGGGGAUCUUGCACAAUGGGCGAAAGCCUGAUGCAGCGACGCCGCGUGAGCGAAGAAGGCCUUCGGUUGUAAAGCUCUGUCUGGAGGGACGAAGGAAGUGACGGUACCUCCGGAGGAAGCCACGGCUAACUACGUG
Molecule: ribosomal RNA, 474 nt
Filed under: uncultured bacterium
Lineage: Bacteria
Description: bacterial SSU rRNA
Rfam family: Bacterial small subunit ribosomal RNA
Source: RNAcentral